UACGAAGGGUGCAAGCGUUGUUCGGAAUUACUGGGCGUAAAGGGUGUGUAGGCGGCCUGUCAAGAUAGCGGUGAAAUCCCGGAGCUCAACUUCGGAAUUGCCGUUAUAACUGGUGGGCUAGAAUGACAGAGAGGAUAUUGGAAUACCCAGUGUAGAGGUGAAAUUCGUAGAUAUUGGGUAGAACACCGGAGGCGAAGGCGAGUAUCUGGCUGUAAAUUGACGCUGAGGCACGAAAGCAUGGGGAU
Molecule: ribosomal RNA, 245 nt
Filed under: uncultured Rhodospirillaceae bacterium
Lineage: Bacteria; Pseudomonadati; Pseudomonadota; Alphaproteobacteria; Rhodospirillales; Rhodospirillaceae
Description: partial 16S ribosomal RNA
Rfam family: Bacterial small subunit ribosomal RNA
Source: RNAcentral